CCUUAUCAAGAGAGGCAGAGGGAAUGGCCCGAUGACGCCCGGCAACCGCCAGUUCACAAACUGGAAUGGUGCCAAAUCCAACAGAACCACGAUGUUCUGAAAGAUGAGG
RNAcentral lists this non-coding RNA (109 nucleotides) under uncultured Planococcus sp. RNAcentral's name for it is "SAM riboswitch (S box leader)". It matches the Rfam family "SAM riboswitch aptamer (S box leader)". Rfam says of the family: The SAM riboswitch is found upstream of a number of genes which code for proteins involved in methionine or cysteine biosynthesis in Gram-positive bacteria. The SAM riboswitch acts at the level of transcription termination control. The predicted structure consists of a complex stem-loop region followed by a single stem loop terminator region. Lineage: Bacteria; Bacillati; Bacillota; Bacilli; Caryophanales; Caryophanaceae. The record is from RNAcentral.